This 516-nucleotide ribosomal RNA is filed under the name Aeromonas caviae. RNAcentral's name for it is "partial 23S ribosomal RNA". It matches the Rfam family "Bacterial large subunit ribosomal RNA", at positions 1135 to 1654 of the family's 2925-position model. Lineage: Bacteria; Pseudomonadati; Pseudomonadota; Gammaproteobacteria; Aeromonadales; Aeromonadaceae. The record is from RNAcentral.
UAAUAGCUCACUAGUCGAGUCGGCCUGCGCGGAAGAUGUAACGGGGCUCAAACCAGGCACCGAAGCCGCGGAUUCACACUAAGUGUGAGUGGUAGGGGAGCGUUCUGUAAGUCUGCGAAGGUGUAUCGAGAGGUAUGCUGGAGAUAUCAGAAGUGCGAAUGCUGACGUAAGUAACGAUAAAGGGGGUGAAAAGCCUCCUCGCCGGAAGACCAAGGGUUCCUGUCCAACGUUAAUCGGGGCAGGGUGAGUCGACCCCUAAGGUGAGGCCGAAAGGCGUAAUCGAUGGGAAGCAGGUUAAUAUUCCUGCACGACUUGUAAUUGCGAUGGGGGGACGGAGAAGGCUAGGUGGGCCAGGCGACGGUUGUCCUGGUGAAAGUGCGUAGGUGGUGUUUCUAGGCAAAUCCGGAGACACAACACUGAGACACGAGACGAACGCACCACGGUGCGGAAGCCAUUGAUGCCCUGCUUCCAGGAAAAGCCUCUAAGCUUCAGAUUACAAGUCAUCGUACCCCAAAC